Molecule: long non-coding RNA, 292 nt
Organism: Mauremys reevesii (Reeves's turtle)
Lineage: Eukaryota; Metazoa; Chordata; Testudines; Geoemydidae
Exons: 3
Source: RefSeq, a predicted model, not a curated record
ACAGGACAGCUGGAUUCCUCAGAUGGAAAUAGAACUUCGAGACAGGAUCAGAUGAGUGUCUUCUCAGGUGGUCUGACAACCAUCAUUUGGAGGGAGAAGGUGUUUUGAAUAUAGCAUCCUUGGCGGAAGCCAGGGAAUGGAUCUAAGAGCUUCAGUGAUUCUUCUACUCCUUUUGGUUAGGCCACCACAUGAAAGACCCAAUAGGAGCAUAAAGACACAGUAAUAUGUGUGGAACACAGGGAAAGGUCACUGCUGCAUGUGAAUUCAUUUUUUAAAUAAUUCAACAAACUGU